UACGUUUUUCUAGGGCUUUCAUUCGUUUCCCCUCUGUCGCCGCCUCUGAUUCCUUUCUUUUUUUUUUUUUUUUUUCAUCCUUGAAUUUAUUUAAUAAAUCGUCGAUAUAGGUUUUAUAUUUUGAACUUCGUUGAUCGAUUUUGUGGUUUUAAGGUUUUGUUACCAUCAUUUUUUUUUUCCGAUUUUUGUUUUCGCUGAGAGAUCUCUGAAAUUUGAUUCAUCUCUGUGACGAUUUCACAACUCGGAUCUAUUCUGAUGAUCGAUUUGAUGAUUAGAACGAAUUUUUUUAAAUUUUGAGGCGUUAUUUGUGCGAGUAAUCUGACGAUUCAAAGGGUUUUUUUCUCGUCGUCGUCGGAGGUUUUGUUGUUCGUCUUCUGUUUCGUAGAUCUGCUAUGUUUUUGCCUUGGCAGAUCUGUUGUAGCUGCUCUGAUGGUGCACAUCUAUGGUGAAUCGGAGACGAUCUGAGAUCCAGUGCGGGAGUCAACGUCCCAGAUGGAGAUCCAUGGAGAUCGGGUGGAGUUCGUGUUCCAUUUCUCGAGUUCUAUGCGGAUCGAGGUCGACGAUGCUCCUGAUCUGGAGAUUUUGCCGAGGAGUGUUCCGAUCUGAUGACCUGUUGUUGGUAGAUCUCACCUGAUGUCUCUUGUGAUAAGAAGAAACUACGUGUAAGAGAUGUUAUGGGGGGGAAUCGAUCACAUCGAAUCAUGGAAAGGGGUGGUGGGGGUUCUACACUUGGUGAUCGUCUGUGGAAUGGUAUGGUAUGGUAUGGUAUGGUGAUGCUUGUUGUUGUUCUACGUAGGCCUUUGCCAUGUUGGGUGCGCUCGCAUGGCAGGUCAAAAACCCUAAUAAAAAGUUUCUCUUUUUGCGUGCUUUGGGAGGGAGAUCGCACGGGGUGUUUUUGUUCCCCGGGUUCUCCCCAUUUUUGGCUUCUGCUGCUUAUGCGUUCUCGCACUCUUCUUCUCCUUCCUCGUCGCUUACUAUUUUCAGUGACAUGGAUAAAAACACUACGCAAUGGUAUCCUUGACGAGCUCCUCUUCGACUUGCUCCUCUUCGUCCCCAUCAGUGAGCCUCCUCAUUAGGAUCGACGGCGAAAGAGAGAAGUGGCGUCCAACGUGCGACCUCCUCCCGCUCAACCAAUUGUGCUGCAAGUAGCUCUCAAUAGGGAGAAAGACCACCUCCCGCUCAACCAUUGUGCUGCAAGUAGCUCUCAAUAUGGAGAAAGACGCCUGGUGGAUCUGCCUGAUGCAUGGAGACUGGCUGAUAUGACUAAUACAUCUGCCUCGUUUAUUUGCAGCUGGUUUUUCGAUGCUUGGCCUUACCUUACCGUCCGACCGUCCCCUACCAAUUAUUAAAUUGAGGUAUAUGUGGUGGAAUUCUUUCUCAUGUUUGAUUUAUUUGUUGCAAGUAUGUCUUCAGCGAGCGUGAUGUGAUCUGCAUUGAUUUGUUCUUCUUGUGGCCUACUAAUUACCUACUUAAGUUGCCUAAUUUUAAUUUGCUUUUCUAUUGGAGUAGACUUGGCCUCUUUAACUUAUGUACAUCUGCAGUUUUUUUUGCCAGUAUUUGCUGUACAUUUUACUCUGCUAUCUGAUGUAUAUUUGGUUGGGAGAUGUUUGGGAACUUUCCUUUAUGAGAUUUGCUUAUGGUUGGUUUUGUUAGUAAAUAUUGUGUUAUAUGAUGAAAA
Molecule: RNA transcript, 1678 nt
Organism: Ananas comosus (pineapple)
Lineage: Eukaryota; Viridiplantae; Streptophyta; Magnoliopsida; Poales; Bromeliaceae
Exons: 2
Source: RefSeq, a predicted model, not a curated record